UGAGGAAUUGUGCGCAAUGGGCGAAAGCCUGACGCCGCGACACCGCGUGAGGGAAGAAGCUUUUCGGAGUGUAAACCUCUUUUCUGAAGGACGAUUAUGACGGUACUUUAGGAAUAAGCCACGGCUAACUUCGUGCCAGCAGCCGCGGUAAUACGAAGGUGGCAAGCGUUAUCCGGAUUUAUUGGGCGUAAAGAGCAUGUAGGCGGUUUAAUAAGUCUUGGUUUAAAGCCCACUGCUCAACAGUGGAACCAAUCAAGAUACUGCUAAACUAGUGAAUAGCAGGGGUGAGCGGAAUUGACGGUGUAGGAGUUAAAUCCAUUGAUAUCGUCAAGAACACCAAUGGCGAAGGCAGCUCACUAGGUUAUUUCAGACGCUGAGAUGCGAAAGCGUGGGUAGCGAACGGG
This 404-nucleotide ribosomal RNA is filed under the name uncultured bacterium. RNAcentral's name for it is "bacterial SSU rRNA". It matches the Rfam family "Bacterial small subunit ribosomal RNA", at positions 355 to 776 of the family's 1533-position model. The record is from RNAcentral.